This 460-nucleotide ribosomal RNA is filed under the name uncultured bacterium. Its description in RNAcentral is "partial 16S ribosomal RNA". It matches the Rfam family "Bacterial small subunit ribosomal RNA", at positions 338 to 795 of the family's 1533-position model. The record is from RNAcentral.
CCUACGGGCGGCAGCAGUGAGGAAUAUUGGUCAAUGGACGAGAGUCUGAACCAGCCAAGUAGCGUGAAGGAUGACUGCCCUAUGGGUUGUAAACUUCUUUUAUAAAGGACUAAAACGAGGCACGUGUGCCUUUUUGCAUGUACUUUAUGAAUAAGGAUCGGCUAACUCCGUGCCAGCAGCCGCGGUACUACGGAGGAUCCGAGCGUUAUCCGGUUGUAUUGGGUUUAAAGGGAGCGUAGAUGGGUUGUUAAGUCAGUUGUGAAAGUUUGCGGCUCAACCGUAAAAUUGCAAUUGAUACUGGCAGUCUUGAGUACAGUUGAGGUAAGCGGAAUUCGUGGUGUAGCGGUGAAAUGCUUAGAUAUCACGAAGAACCCCGAUUGCGAAGGCAGCUUACUAAACUGUGACUGACAUUGAUGCUCGAAAGUGUGGGUAUCAAACAGGAUUAGAUACCCCAGUAGUC